This 213-nucleotide long non-coding RNA is filed under the name Vitis vinifera (wine grape). RNAcentral's name for it is "long non-coding RNA (VVIN_LNC007835)". Lineage: Eukaryota; Viridiplantae; Streptophyta; Magnoliopsida; Vitales; Vitaceae. The record is from RNAcentral.
CUUCUUUUUUUAUUUUUUUUCUCUUCAUUUUUUUUUCAUAUAAUUAUUAUCCUAAUUUAUUUUUCAUUAUCUCAAUAUAUGUAAAAGUUUUUUGUUUUAGUAUGAAAUGUUUUUAAUAGAACGGAAUUUUUAUAAUUUUAUAUUUGAAAUUUUGUUAAAUAAUUUUCUUAAGUAGGUUCUCUUUGGUUUCAAUUUUGAAAAUUUGAAAAUCUU